RNAcentral lists this ribosomal RNA (290 nucleotides) under Colletotrichum gloeosporioides. RNAcentral describes it as "partial 28S ribosomal RNA". It matches the Rfam family "Eukaryotic large subunit ribosomal RNA", at positions 368 to 664 of the family's 3401-position model. The record is from RNAcentral. Lineage: Eukaryota; Fungi; Ascomycota; Sordariomycetes; Glomerellales; Glomerellaceae.
UCUUUGUUAAGGCACUUUGAAAGAGGGUUAACAGCACGUGAAAUUGUUAAAAGGGAAGCGCUUGUGACCAGACUUGCGUCCGGUGAAUCACCCAGCUCUCGCGGCUGGGGCACUUCGCCGGCUCAGGCCAGCAUCAGCUCGCUGUCGGGGACAAAAGCUUCAGGAACGUAGCUCUCUUCGGGGAGUGUUAUAGCCUGUUGCAUAAUACCCUUCGGCGGGCUGAGGUACGCGCUCCGCAAGGAUGCUGGCAUAAUGGUCAUCAGCGACCCGUCUUGAAACACGGACCAAGA